AUAACGACUCUCGGCAACGGAUAUCUCGGCUCUCGCAUCGAUGAAGAACAUAGCGAAAUGCGAUACUUGGAGUGAAUUGCAGAAUCCCAUGAACCAUCCAGUCUUUGAACGCAAGUUGCGCCCGAAGCCAUCAGGCCGAGGGCACGUCUGCCUGGGCGUCAUGC
This 164-nucleotide ribosomal RNA is filed under the name Microchirita lavandulacea. RNAcentral describes it as "5.8S ribosomal RNA". It matches the Rfam family "5.8S ribosomal RNA". From Rfam's summary of the family: 5.8S ribosomal RNA (5.8S rRNA) is a component of the large subunit of the eukaryotic ribosome. It is transcribed by RNA polymerase I as part of the 45S precursor that also contains 18S and 28S rRNA. Lineage: Eukaryota; Viridiplantae; Streptophyta; Magnoliopsida; Lamiales; Gesneriaceae. The record is from RNAcentral.